RNAcentral lists this ribosomal RNA (583 nucleotides) under uncultured bacterium. RNAcentral describes it as "bacterial SSU rRNA". It matches the Rfam family "Bacterial small subunit ribosomal RNA", at positions 922 to 1504 of the family's 1533-position model. The record is from RNAcentral.
CGCACAAGCGGUGGAUGAUGUGGAUUAAUUCGAUGCAACGCGAAAAACCUUACCUACCCUUGACAUGUCAGGAAGUCCGCUGAGAGGUGGAUGUGCUCGAAAGAGAACCUGAACACAGGUGCUGCAUGGCUGUCGUCAGCUCAUGUCGUGAGAUGUUGGGUUAAGUCCCGCAACGAGCGCAACCCUUGUCAUUAAUUGCCAUCAUUCAGUUGGGCACUUUAAUGAGACUGCCGGUGACAAACCGGAGGAAGGUGGGGAUGACGUCAAGUCCUCAUGGCCCUUAUGGGUAGGGCUUCACACGUCAUACAAUGGUCGGUACAGAGGGUCGCCAACCCGCGAGGGGGAGCCAAUCCCACAAAGCCGAUCGUAGUCCGGAUCGUAGUCUGCAACUCGACUACGUGAAGUCGGAAUCGCUAGUAAUCGUGGAUCAGCAUGUCACGGUGAAUACGUUCCCGGAUCUUGUACACACCGCCCGUCACACCAUGGGAGUGGGUUCCACCAGAAGUAGGUAGUCUAACCGCAAGGAGGGCGCUUACCACGGUGGGAUUCAUGACUGGGGUGAAGUCGUAACAAGGUAGCCGUA